AAUAAGUACAGUUUUAUACUGCAUGUCCAACGUUUGAUUGUUCGUCUUUUGAAUUUUUUUAUAAUUAGUAUUUUUAAUGUUAUUAGAUGAUAAAAUAUGAACAAUACUUCAUGUCGGACUAAUUUUUUUAAAUUUUUAUAUAAAAUUUUCAAAUAAAAUGGACGGUCAAACAUUAGACACGGAUACACACACAUGCACUUAUU
MicroRNA precursor from Oryza sativa Indica Group (long-grained rice), 203 nucleotides. It matches the Rfam family "MIR812 microRNA precursor family". NCBI's taxonomy places the organism in Eukaryota, Viridiplantae, Streptophyta, Magnoliopsida, Poales, Poaceae. The record is from Rfam.